This 254-nucleotide ribosomal RNA is filed under the name uncultured bacterium. Its description in RNAcentral is "partial 16S ribosomal RNA". It matches the Rfam family "Bacterial small subunit ribosomal RNA", at positions 524 to 776 of the family's 1533-position model. The record is from RNAcentral.
UACGGGGGGAGCAAGCGUUGUUCGGAUUUACUGGGCGUAAAGGGCGCGUAGGCGGUCGUGACAAGUCACUUGUGAAAUCUCCGGGCUUAACUCGGAACGGUCAAGUGAUACUGUCGGACUAGAGUACAGAAGGGGCAACUGGAAUUCUCGGUGUAGCGGUGAAAUGCGUAGAUAUCGAGAGGAACACCAGUGGCGAAGGCGGGUUGCUGGGCUGAUACUGACGCUGAGGCGCGAAAGCCAGGGGAGCGAACGGG